RNAcentral lists this long non-coding RNA (1306 nucleotides) under Calidris pugnax (ruff). RNAcentral's name for it is "lncRNA (ENSCPUG00000016018.1)". The record is from RNAcentral. Lineage: Eukaryota; Metazoa; Chordata; Aves; Charadriiformes; Scolopacidae.
AUGUUUGGCGUUGUAGAUUAUUUCUUACUAAAUGUUCAAACUAGUGCAGACUGCAGCGAGCGUAUGCAGAAGUUUACCUUAAGAAUCCUGGCCGGGACUCACAUUUACGAAGCAGAGACUACUUGUGAUCUCGGGGAAUGUAACCUGCUCCCAGGACUGCAGGUCACUGCAAGCAAGGAAGGAGUCCCCAGCAAUGCUGACUGCCUUUGCGCUGCCCUCACGCCGUGCCUCUCCCUAAGUUUCUCGGUUUGGCUGAUGUUCCUGGGAAAUUACAACUCCUGCUGUAGCACAGUGCUUUCCCUCUGACUGCUCUGGCUCAUACGUUCUGGAAGAUGUAGUUUGACCAGCUUGCCAUGCCUGUGGGAAAGAAUGGGGCAUCUUUACUUGAAACAACAAGCUCUUUCAAGCUGUGGAGCUACACCGCAAUGGGAAAUGAAAGUUUAACAUUGAGAUGACUGGAAGCAAGUAUUUUUAGCCUUGUUUCAACAUGAUUCUUUACCAUGAUGUUUCCUAAUCAAAGCUUUGGAAUUUGUCUUCUGUGUUUCUCCAGGAUGUACCUUGAAAUAAUACCUUUAAACAGUCAAAUGCAGCAAUUGGUAUCUUUGAGUGUAGGAGAGUAAACAUCGGUGAAAAAUACAACCAACUUGAUUGACUGGUAUAAUGAUAAAUGGAACUGCAGCAGAAUUUACAGCUAUUAGUAGAUUCAGAGAAUCACGGAAUUGUUUGUGUUGGAAGGGACCUUAAAAAAUCAUCUAGUCCAACCCCCUUGCCCUGGGCAGGGACACCUCCCACCAGCCCAGGUUGCUCCAAGCCCCAUCCAGCCUGGCCUUGAACCCCUCCAGGGAUGGGGCAGCCACAGCUUCUCUGGGCAGCUUGUUUCUGUGUCUCACCACCCUCCUCAUAAGAAAUUGCCUCCUUACGUUCAAUCUAAAUCUACCCUCUUUCCAUUUAAAAACAUUGCCUCUUGUCCUGUCACUUACAGGCCCUGUUGAAAAGUCUUUUGCUACCUUUUUUAUAAACCACUUUUAAGUACUGAAAGGCCACUAUGGGGUCUCCCUGGGGCCUUCUCUUCCCCAGGCUGAACCACCCCAGCUCCCUCAGCCUGUCCUCACAGGAGGUGUGGCAGCUCAUGGAUCAUUUUUGUGGCCCUCCUCUGGACCAGCUUUAAGAAGUUCCUGUCUUGCCUAUUGCUGAAGUCUAAUUCUUGAUGAUGACUAAGUGCUGGUUUCAUGUAGGAAAUGUUGAAAUGUCAGCUUUCUUUGGGAUGAUAAAACGGGACGAAAACAGAUAAUGACACUUUCCAACU